RNAcentral lists this ribosomal RNA (162 nucleotides) under Opuntia depressa. RNAcentral's name for it is "5.8S ribosomal RNA". It matches the Rfam family "5.8S ribosomal RNA". From Rfam's summary of the family: 5.8S ribosomal RNA (5.8S rRNA) is a component of the large subunit of the eukaryotic ribosome. It is transcribed by RNA polymerase I as part of the 45S precursor that also contains 18S and 28S rRNA. The record is from RNAcentral. Lineage: Eukaryota; Viridiplantae; Streptophyta; Magnoliopsida; Caryophyllales; Cactaceae.
AACGACUCUCGGCAACGGAUAUCUCGGCUCUCGCAUCGAUGAAGAACGUAGCGAAAUGCGAUACUUGGUGUGAAUUGCAGAAUCCCGUGAACCAUCGAGUCCUUGAACGCAAGUUGCGCCCGAAGCCUUCCGGCCGAGGGCACGUCUGCCUGGGCGUCACGC